AGUGAACGCUGGCGGUAGGCCUAACACAUGCAAGUCGAACGGCAGCACAGUAAGAGCUUGCUCUUACGGGUGGCGAGUGGCGGACGGGUGAGGAAUACAUCGGAAUCUACUUUUUCGUGGGGGACAACGUAGGGAAACUUACGCUAAUACCGCAUACGACCUACGGGUGAAAGCAGGGGAUCUUCGGACCUUGCGCGAUUGAAUGAGCCGAUGUCGGAUUAGCUAGUUGGCGGGGUAAAGGCCCACCAAGGCGACGAUCCGUAGCUGGUCUGAGAGGAUGAUCAGCCACACUGGACCUGAGACACGGUCCAGACUCCUACGGGAGGCAGCAGUGGGGAAUAUUGGACAAUGGGCGCAAGCCUGAUCCAGCCAUACCGCGUGGGUGAAGAAGGCCUUCGGGUUGUAAAGCCCUUUUGUUGGGAAAGAAAAGCAGCAGGUUAAUACCCCGCUGUUCUGACGGUACCCAAAGAAUAAGCACCGGCUAACUUCGUG
Molecule: ribosomal RNA, 492 nt
Filed under: uncultured bacterium
Lineage: Bacteria
Description: partial 16S ribosomal RNA
Rfam family: Bacterial small subunit ribosomal RNA
Source: RNAcentral